Molecule: ribosomal RNA, 433 nt
Filed under: uncultured bacterium
Lineage: Bacteria
Description: partial 16S ribosomal RNA
Rfam family: Bacterial small subunit ribosomal RNA
Source: RNAcentral
AGCGAACGCCGGCGGCAGGCCUAACACAUGCAAGUCGAACGAACUCUUCGGAGUUAGUGGCGGACGGGUGAGUAACACGUGGGAACGUGCCUUUAGGCUCGGAAUAACUCAGGGAAACUUGUGCUAAUACCGAAUGUGCCCUUCGGGGGAAAGAUUUAUCGCCUUUAGAGCGGCCCGCGUCUGAUUAGCUUGUUGGUGAGGUAAAGGCCCACCAAGGCGACGAUCAGUAGCUGGUCUGAGAGGAUGAUCAGCCACAUUGGGACUGAGACACGGCCCAAACUCCUACGGGAGGCAGCAGUGGGGAAUCUUGCGCAAUGGGCGAAAGCCUGACGCAGCCAGGCCGCGUGAAUGAUGAAGGUCUUAGGAUUGUAAAAUUCUUUCACCGGGGACGAUAAUGACGGUACCCGGAGAAGAAGCCCCGGCUAACUUCGUG